RNAcentral lists this long non-coding RNA (409 nucleotides) under Anser brachyrhynchus (Pink-footed goose). Its description in RNAcentral is "lncRNA (ENSABRG00000009296.1)". Lineage: Eukaryota; Metazoa; Chordata; Aves; Anseriformes; Anatidae. The record is from RNAcentral.
CAGCCCGUCUGCAGCCUGCAGACACACGUGCCAUGUCACUACAGAGUCACACGGCUUUGGACCGAUCUAAUCAAAAAUAUGGGGAAAGGAGAGAGGCUGUGAUAAAUAUAACUUUGCAAAAGCCCAUUUAAUCAGGGAAGUCAAAGCCAGAUCCAGUGUCUCGGGGGAAGUUUUAUUGGAAGCAGGUUCUCUCUUUGCAAAAAGGAAGGAUCCCGGCCAGCAGCGAGAGGAACUGCACAUGGGUGGCAGGGCUGAGCGUCAGGUCCCGAAGCCAAAUGUCUGAGAAGAUGCAUCUCAUUUAGAGCAUCUUUAUUCCAAGACUGUGCCAGAGUGCACUUGUUGCUAUGGGUUAAAUCCAGGCAUUACCCAACAUAGCCAGAAGCCCAUCACUGCCAUCCGAGUGGGCAGA